CGGAGAGUUUGAUCCUGGCUCAGAUUGAACGCUGGCGGCAUGCCUUACACAUGCAAGUCGAACGGCAGCACGGAGCUUGCUCUGGUGGCGAGUGGCGAACGGGUGAGUAAUAUAUCGGAACGUACCCUGGAGUGGGGGAUAACGUAGCGAAAGUUACGCUAAUACCGCAUACGAUCUACGGAUGAAAGUGGGGGAUCGCAAGACCUCAUGCUCGUGGAGCGGCCGAUAUCUGAUUAGCUAGUUGGUAGGGUAAAAGCCUACCAAGGCAUCGAUCAGUAGCUGGUCUGAGAGGACGACCAGCCACGCUGGAACUGAGACACGGUCCAGACUCCUACGGGAGGCAGCAGUGGGGAAUUUUGGACAAUGGGCGAAAGCCUGAUCCAGCAAUGCCGCGUGAGUGAAGAAGGCCUUCGGGUUGUAAAGCUCUUUUGUCAGGGAAGAAACGGUGAGGGCUAAUAUCUCUUGCUAAUGACGGUACCUGAAGAAUAAGCACCGGCUAACUACGUGCCAGCAGCCGCGGUAAUACGUAGGGUGCAAGCGUUAAUCGGAAUUACUGGGCGUAAAGCGUGCGCAGGCGGUUUUGUAAGUCUGAUGUGAAAUCCCCGGGCUCAACCUGGGAAUUGCAUUGGAGACUGCAAGGCU
RNAcentral lists this ribosomal RNA (642 nucleotides) under uncultured bacterium. RNAcentral describes it as "bacterial SSU rRNA". It matches the Rfam family "Bacterial small subunit ribosomal RNA", at positions 1 to 642 of the family's 1533-position model. The record is from RNAcentral.